Molecule: long non-coding RNA, 570 nt
Filed under: Daucus carota (carrot)
Lineage: Eukaryota; Viridiplantae; Streptophyta; Magnoliopsida; Apiales; Apiaceae
Description: long non-coding RNA (DCAR_LNC006296)
Source: RNAcentral
GCAGGGUCCGGGUUAUCCAAUCUCUUUUGAAAGAGUUUUUGCGCCUUAGAUGUGUGAAGCGAGUCCGGAUCAUGCAAGACCUCUUUUCUCCUGCUCCUCUUGCCUUGGAAUAUUUUUCCAAGUAAUAAUUGGGAAGUAACUCGAUUUGGCUGUUGAAUAAAUCUUUGCCUUAGGUGGAUAGCUGGGUCCGGUAUUGGUCACUUGUAGAAUGGUAAUUGUAAGUACAAUAUAGUAUUAUACUCUGGAUCGGUUGCUUGGCUUGAGAAAAUAUUUCAAGUAGUACAUAAAUGGUUGGGUCCGGAUUGGUUGCUUAUAUCCGGAUUGGUUGCUUGGAGAAUUCUCUCCUUGAAAAAAUAAUUCAAGUAAUAAAUAAAUGAUUGAAUCCGGAUUUGUUGCUUGAAUCCGGAUUGGUUGCUUGGAGAAUUCUCUCCUUGAAAAAAUAAUUCAAGUAAUAAAUAAAUAAAUGAUUGAAUCCGGAUUGGUUGCUUAUAUCCGGGUUGGUUGCUUGGAGAAUUCUCUCCUUGAAAAAAUAAUUCAAGUAAUGAAUAAAUGAUUGAAUCCGGAUUGGUU